CUGUUUGGGUUUGUGCACCUUCAGGACCAAACUCUUCCCUCCAGAUUCCAAGAGAUGCUUGGCAUGGGACGCUUGGCACUCAAGCACAAAAUAGCUUCAUUUCUGUAUUUCAAGAGAAAACAUAGAGACAGAAAGAGGCACUUCAGUUUUUUUAGCUGUUGUUUUGUUACUUUUUAUUAUCAAUUUAUUUUUAUCUGCUUAAAAACCAACAAAAGCACAACCUCCUCGGCUGCUUUCUUCCUGCUUCUCUGCGGAUUAGCUCUUGUGUGUUGGACUGCUCCCAACAAGGCUUCAAGUGCUGUGGAGCCCGGCCUGAUAAUGCUGAAAGUCGAUGACUAAAACACAAAGCAGUCACAUGACCGCCAAACUUAGGAGGAGCGGAGGACGAGGGAACGAUGAUGAUAGCGGAUGGAGUAGGAGUUGGAGGAUGGAGAAUGGAGUGAACUCAGGAGCAGGUGAACACAGCUGUGGACCGCCAUGGGCUCUCUCUCUUCUUUUUUUCCCCUUGGCUUCUCUGUCUCGGAGGUUCCGAGGAGACGGCAGGGGCCAGCCAGCGAGCGCUGGAGUGGGCAGGCAGAGGCGGGCUGCUGCGCCCGCCGGCUAGCGGCUCGGCGGCACCGAGGAGGGAGGGAAAUCGAUGCGGAGGAAAGAGGCUGCCAGGGGUCGCCCAACGCAGCCUCCGGCCGCGGCACCGUGGGAUUCCAAAACGCUCGCCUAUCCCUCGCCCUACCCGCUCCCAGUCAACUCACAUCAGCCUGAGAGAGAGAGAGAGGGCCAGAAGCACCAACGAUGCUCCAUGUGAAAGAGCAAGAGAGAGUUUGUGCGCGUAUGUAUAUGUGUGUGGUUCCGCCGGAGGGACUUUCCAGCCCCAGCACCACUUGAUAAAACUUUGUCUGUGAGGAGAACGAGUAGAAAAAGAGUGUCAAAGGUCCUUUUUUUUUCUCCCCCCCACCCUCCUCGAUUCCUUUUUUCCGUAAGUGCACAUUCCCUGUGACUGUUUGAAUGAGCGCUUGACGGAGGAUCCCUCUUACUGUGAAUUGAGGAGGCCUUCUUUUUUUUACGGGCCCUCCUCCAAGCAUGUACAAAGUGCUCUACAUCAGAUGAGCUGGCAAGAGAGGACAACUUGAACUUUUCUCUUUUUUCCCAUUUUUAAGGACAUUUUUUCACCUUUUCAGUUGUAGAUUAAAUUAGAUGAUUUUUUUUAAAAUACUCUGAGAGCUUCUGAAAAAGGCUUUGGUUUUGAUCCACAUCAAGAGGCUUGGCACUGCCCUCAUGUACGUACUGCAAAAUUGCUGCUCCAUGGACCUCUGCAGUGCUACUUUUGAUAAGAUCAGGUUGAAAGGGAGGGCAGAGUGGACCAAGCUCCAAAAAGUCAUGAGUUUUCAGAAUAUUGGUCCUUAGCCUAAUGCUAAUACAAUUUUCCAUUUGGCAUGAGGAAUGCUCCAUUUCUCCCCUCCAGAACUUAUGGGAAUGAACUGAGGGACUCAUGAUGCUCAGGGUAAUACAUGUCCUUGUGGAUGCUUUGAGGAGUGAAGCUUGCCAGGAGAGGAGUCCAAAACCUUCUCAACUUUCUCAGCCAACUGGAUCCAAAAUGGUGUUAUGAAUUGCAGAAACACCUCCCUCAUAAUUUGCGGAAGUCAGAGAACAUGGCUUGAACGAAGGAAAAGAAGAUGGAUAUGGUAAUGAAAUUUUAUUCUGAAUGGUUAGUUAUAGUUUUGCUCUGUACUUUGUACGGGUAAGUAUUUUGGACCUUUAAAAAGGUAAGUUUCUGGUUUUGUCUUCUGGUGUAGCAGUAAUGGAGGACACCUUGAUAGUAAUAAUAAUAAUAAUGAUAACUUGAUUUGUAGAGCUCUCCUCAUACAGCUCAAAGUGCUUUGCAGAUGGCUGAUAAGGCUUAACAGUAAAAGAUGAAUAUUGUUCCGUUAUGUUUAAUGAAUAAUUCCACAUAUAUAUUACUAAUAAUAAUAAUCCAAUUAAUUGU
Colossoma macropomum (tambaqui) is the source of this 1981-nucleotide long non-coding RNA. RefSeq lists it as uncharacterized. The record is from RefSeq and is a predicted model, not a curated record. The transcript has 4 exons. NCBI's taxonomy places the organism in Eukaryota, Metazoa, Chordata, Actinopteri, Characiformes, Serrasalmidae.